Molecule: ribosomal RNA, 406 nt
Filed under: uncultured bacterium
Lineage: Bacteria
Description: partial 16S ribosomal RNA
Rfam family: Bacterial small subunit ribosomal RNA
Source: RNAcentral
AUUGAACGCUGGCGGCAGGCCUAACACAUGCAAGUCGAGCGAGCGGCGGACGGGUGAGUAAUGUCUGGGAAACUGCCUGGUGGAGGGGGAUAACUACUGGAAACGGUAGCUAAUACCGCAUACCAUCAGAUGUGCCCAGAUGGGAUUAGCUAGGAGGUGGGGUAACGGCUCACCUAGGCGAAGCUCCCUAGCUGGUCUGAGAGGAUGACCAGCCACACUGGAACUUGGACACGGUCCCAACUCCUAAGGGAGGCAGCAGGGGGGAAGAUUGGCCAAUGGGCGCAAGCCGGAUGCAGCCAUGCCGCGGGUAUGAAGAAGGCCUUCGGGUUGUAAAGUACUUUCAGCGGGGAGGCGUUACCCGCAGAAGAAGCACCGGCUAACUCCGUGCCAGCAGCCGCGGUAAUUC